This 885-nucleotide long non-coding RNA is filed under the name Pan troglodytes (chimpanzee). RNAcentral describes it as "long non-coding RNA NONPTRT011689". Lineage: Eukaryota; Metazoa; Chordata; Mammalia; Primates; Hominidae. The record is from RNAcentral.
CUGGACUCCUGCUAACUUCAGUAUGGAUGGCACCGGGUUCAACAGACUGAAGAAGAGACACAGAACCAGCGACGAGACCACAGGGUUUACUAAGAACUUACAUACAGUGGUCCAGUGGCAGUUGGCUGGAUAGCAGAACUGCUGAUGCCUUCAGGAAACAUUUGCUGCUGAUACUGAAUCCAGAGAGGUGAACAGAUUUCCCCUUCCUAAUAAUACAACCACAGCAACAGCAGCUGUGACUGAGGAGAAACCAGAACUAACAUCUCUUCAAGAGGGGACCCCCUGAUUCAACAGGCAUUAUUCAUUAUCUGAAGGCUGGGAAGGAGAUUGAUAGACUAAGAACCUUGGCUGAUCCUCUGGAGACAGACUGCUCAUUAAUCUUGAGAUGGACAAAGCUCCAUAAGCCUUCCAAUGGUCUUCUGACAAUACGGCCUUGAAUUAUAUUCUUUUCUAACCUGGCCUUCCAUAUGUGUUUUUCUAGGUCCCUAAGGAGGAGAAGGGCAAAUAGGGAAUUAUGUUUGGAUUGGCUGGACAAAUAGAAAAGAACGGUGCAUGUUAGGUAAAACCACAGUAGACUACAAAAAUAUUUCUGAAUUCAUCAUUCUACAGUAAUGUGUUAGUAUGAGCAUUCAAUAUAACCAUCUGCUAUGGCAUAAUGAGUUCAGAGGGCAUCUCUAUUGACACGGGUAAAGGAAAACUUGUCAUUUGAAGUUGGUAGCACACCUGAUGGAUGGAGCAUGAAAUGAAAACUUCCCAUCAUCUUUCUUAUAAGGGAAGCUGAUGCUUGCUUGGAUUAGUUAAAAUGGACCUAAACAGAAAUACAAAGUUCACCUUGCACACUUAAAGGCCAUUGCAGAAAUUUUUGAUACUAUCUAAAGACUUGCC